UGGCUCUUACAUCUCUCUCUUCUUCUACAGUGAUCCCUGAGCCUGGGGAGCAGGAGUUAUGCUGUAGAUGUAUCAGUUGGAAUUGGCCUCCAGAACUCUGCAUUUUGAUUGGCUGUGAUUUUCUGUAAUGGUCUCUGUUUCUUGCAAGGAAAACUUUGCUUGCUGAGGGGAAGAAAAACACAGUUGCUGUGGUUUGAAUGUGAAACGCUCCCUAUCGUUCGUCGGAACACAUCUGGUACCAUUUGGACCUAAUUUCAAUUGCCAGCACCCACACUGGGCA
This is a long non-coding RNA of Mus musculus (house mouse), 280 nucleotides long. RefSeq annotates it as predicted gene, 40622. The transcript has 3 exons. The record is from RefSeq and is a predicted model, not a curated record. NCBI's taxonomy places the organism in Eukaryota, Metazoa, Chordata, Mammalia, Rodentia, Muridae.